GCAAGUCGAGGGGUAACAGAAGAGCUUGCUUUUGCUGACGACCGGCGCACGGGUGCGUAACGCGUAUACAAUCUACCUUUUACUAAGGAAUACCCCAGAGAAAUUUGGAUUAAUGCCUUAUAGUAUGUUCACUUCGCAUGGAGAUAACAUUAAAGAUUACGGAAAAAGAUGAGUAUGCGUUCUAUUAGCUAGAUGGUGUGGUAACGGCACACCAUGGCAACGAUAGAUAGGGGUUCUGAGAGGGAGAUC
This 249-nucleotide ribosomal RNA is filed under the name uncultured bacterium. RNAcentral's name for it is "partial 16S ribosomal RNA". It matches the Rfam family "Bacterial small subunit ribosomal RNA", at positions 57 to 305 of the family's 1533-position model. The record is from RNAcentral.